AGGGUUUACGUGGACGGUCGUUGGCCACCUACUGUGUGCAAGAGACGAAUACAAGCAGAGACUGCUGUCUGCCGGAGCCAACUCCGUGGCAGGGAUGGAUCAGACUGGACCCCUUCCCAGUCUCCAUUGCGAGGGAAAAGCCACUUUCAGAAAUAUUAUAUAAAGUGUACACCCCACGCUCGCACACACACAUACUAAUGAGCGCAUAUAAAACUGGUGAAAUCUGAGUAAGGAUUUCCAUUGCAGAGCCAGCUGACUUCUAUCCAGUGUAGGGCAAGAUGGAGGAUUACCUGGAGGAUUUGGUUUGUGGUGGACCCAGAAGGAUAGAUCAUUCAUUUAUUCAUUCGUUUAUUUAUUUAUUUAUUUGGUUGCUCUUCAUUCCACGUUUUUGAAUCAUCUGCUCUGUGCUGGGUCAUGUGCUAGGUGCUGGAGACCCAGGGGAGAAAGAUAAAAUAAAUAGAGUUAAAAACCAGUGUGAUAAGUGUUGUGAUGGCCGAGGGAGCCAGGUUUAGGAGAGGAGAAUAUGGUAAGGACUUUACUGCAGAAGCGACACCUGAAUGAAGAACCUGUAAGGAGAACGCACUUUCUCCUCUAGACAGUGGGGAAGAGUGGAAAGGUUUUCAACACCAAUGACUUAAUGCAUUGAGGCUAGGAAUGGAAGCUGUAUUUUCCCUGAAGAUUUUCAAUUCUUUACUUCCCUAAAGUAGACCUAGGUUAAAUUAAUGCCCAAUAAACAUAUUUAACAGCAUGUCUGAGGAAGAUUUUUUUAAAAUAGCCAAUUAGGCUAUCUUUGGACAUCUGUCUUACAGCUGUAAGUUUAGUAGUUAAUAGUGUGUAUCCUCAUUCCUCCUUUGUAACUGACGUUGAAGCCUUUCAUGCAACUAGACCAAGGUGUUUAAGAAAAAAAAUCAAUCUUCUCCACCCCAGAAAUGUAUCAAUGACUUACCUCAAAAUGUCACCAAGCAAGGCUUAAUUGUAUGCAGUUCAGGUUUCCUGCUAAUGUAUCUCAUGCUCAGCUUUCACUUAGUUUGUGUUUUAAUUACAAUUACUGUGAUUGGCUUGAUAAAUGCAUCCCAGGAGCUAAGCUCCCCAGUCCCAACAUUUUAUUUCUGUGCAAAGGAUGUUUUCGAGGAGGUAUUUUGCUUUAGGCAGCAGAAACCAGGCUGCAUGCAGUUGUAGUAGAAAAAGAAACACUUUUUCUGCAAACGUCAGAGACCAUCUGAGAUGCUGUGCUAUUGUUUAAUUUCAUAGAGGAUGAUUUGGGAGGGCAGAUGAUAGAAAAAGAAAUCGUUGGAGCUUCUUCCAUCCAUCUUGCAUAACCACCUUCGAAUCAGUUUGCACUGUGUCCCCUCAGGCAAGAGGCAGUGUAUGACUGUGCUCAAACCUCCAGAAUCCUAUUUCAUGUACGAAGAUGUUUGUCAUUCAGAAAUGAGCUCCUUGAAAUGCUUCGGCUUCUGAGGGCUGCACUGCAAGACCUGGGAGAAAAACCUGAGUACACAACUUGGCCUUGGUUGCAUACUGCCCUCUUCAGAGGGAAAAUAUUAUUCUCCCAGGCAUGCAGCAGGCUUCCGUUUGCUUUCUUCACCAAAGCCACUUUUAAUUGUUCAUUAAUGCUCCCCAGCUCUGGCCAGUGAAUGCCCUUCCCUUAGGAAUGUUCCUGGAAACUUGAACACACUGGAGCAGUUGAAAAGACAGAAGGAAGAAGAGUAAAUUGUGUUGGGCAUUUUUCUUUUUUCUUUUUUUUUUUUCUAGGCGGCCUCAUUCUGUCACCCAGGCUGGAGUGCAGGGCAUGAUCAUGGUUCACUGCAGCCUCCACCACCAGGCACAGGAUCCUCCCACCUCAGCCUCCUGGUUAGCUGGCACUGCCAUGCCUGGCUAAUUUUUUGCAUUUUUCAUUGAGACAGGAUUUCACCAUGUUGCCCAGCUGGUCUUGAACUCCUGGGGUUAAGCAAUCCAUCUGCCUCGGCCUCCCAGAGUACUAGAAUUACAGAUGUGAGUCACCACGGCAGGCCUGUGGUUUAGUUCCUAUGUGUUGGUUUUAACCAAGAAGUUGAGCUGCACUCUGGAUACCAGGCAGAAAACCAUUAUUCCAGUCUCAGAGCUUCCCUUUAACUAGUUGUGUGACCCCCCAGCAAGUGGCUUCACCUUUCAUCUGUAAAAUAAGGCUCCCAAACAUCCUGCCUCCCCAGAAGACAACUGCAACCUGUAUGUUUCAUGCUCUGUGCAGCAAAUGAAAACAUGUUGCAACUCAUAGAGUAACACUGAGUUGUUAGUUAUUUUCCCUCUUUGUUACGGCAAUCUUAAAAUGCCUUUUGCUAUUAAAUAUUUCGUAGUCAUUGGAAGUGUGUUUCCUUUUAUCCGCUGGAAUGUACCUUUAAAAGCAAUGGAGAUGAAUUUGAGAUGCCUUUGCUAUGGGACAUACAGAAAAAUAAAGCUAAUGUUUAUUGAGUGUCAAA
Molecule: non-coding RNA, 2456 nt
Organism: Macaca mulatta (Rhesus monkey)
Lineage: Eukaryota; Metazoa; Chordata; Mammalia; Primates; Cercopithecidae
Source: RefSeq, a predicted model, not a curated record